RNAcentral lists this long non-coding RNA (1342 nucleotides) under Homo sapiens (human). Its description in RNAcentral is "HSALNT0251998". Lineage: Eukaryota; Metazoa; Chordata; Mammalia; Primates; Hominidae. The record is from RNAcentral.
AGUCACUGAACAUGAGAGGACAGAGGAGAAGGCUUUUCCUCCCCUAAAGUGUGAAUUAUAGUUUAACAUAUGAUAGUUAAAAAUUGUCCAGUCAUGUGGCUUUUGACAUUCAUAAAAGGUUAGUUUGAAUAUGGGAAGAAUUGUCAUACAAUCAGUGCAGGGAGUAAUAUUAACCAAGAGCAAGUCUUGUAGUUAGCUUUAUUUUAUUUCUUGUGUCUUGAUUUAAACAAUAAAAAUAAGAAGGCCAGUCAUCAUUUUUAAAAACCAUAUUCAUUUUACAGGGGGAAGUUUCCCAAUGAAUACAUAAACUUGCGAGCUUCAGGAGCAUCCAUCUCUUUUGAACCCUGACCCAUUUGAUUCAUAUUAGACUACGGGACCAUUUGGAAGAACAGGAAGGCAGUUUAGAGCUGUGCCCUGGAAAGCGCAUAAUUUCGUUUUCUUCACCACGGUUGCUCUGGAAGGAAAACUGAACACAAACCUCCUUCUUCUCUCCCUUUCCUUCCUUGUUGCAUCUGGUCAAUUCUAACAAACAUUACUAAUGACCAGGCUAUAUCGGCAUUACAUAGUCAAGUAGCCCAUUCAAUUUGCUCAAAAGAGCACAGACAUAAUCAGGCAUUUGGCUGAAUGAACAAUUCCUACUGAAUAGGGCAAAUAUUUGGAUUCAAGUAUAGGUCAGCAGCAACCAAUUGAAAUAUUGAUAAAGGAAGCCUGUGGGAACUAAAUGUACAUAAAAGAAAGAAAGAAGGAAAGAAAAGAAAGAAGGUUCUCAAGGGGUGAGGCAGGGCAACAAGACCACAGGGGGCGAUCUGUGUCCCCCACAAGAAGGUAGGUGGCUUAGCUGGGGAGGUGAGCAGAGCCGUGGCUGACAGCCUGUGAUUCUAGCUGCAGGAAGCACUGUGUUUGAACUGUUUUGUGUAGUUUCAAAGUAUAAUUCAUAAUCUACUACAAAAUACCAUAAAACUUUCUAAUGGGAAUCCCCCUGCCCCUGCCCACCUGACUUUAUUUAAAAAGAGAACUAGGCUAAAGUCUCUUUGUGGGUUUUUAUAUUGUCCUAUUCAGAGGUCAGGUCUCACCAAGGCUGGUUUUGCUGGCUUGAAAACACCUCCCCCAGAGCACUGAGGAAUCUCUGGUAACCUGCUUGCCUCCAACUCCCACCAUUCACUCACCCGUGAGGCUUAGCAAAUCCAGAGCUCUGUUGCCCAAAGUCAAUGCUGGCCACACUCACAGCCAUUUAUAAUGCCUUGCUUUAUGGGUGGUUUAAUUGUCAAGCAUCCCCUCUGCAUGUGGGCAUUCACGUGCCCCAGUGCCACACUCAGCCACCUUCCAGGAAUGUGCCGUUCCC